AUUAGUGGCAGACGGGUGAGUAUGCAUAGGAAUCUACCUAGUAGUAUGGGAUAGCCACUAGAAAUGGUGGGUAAUACUGUAUAAUCCCUGCGGGGGAAAGAUUUAUCGCUAUUAGAUGAGCCUAUGUUAGAUUAGCUAGUUGGUAGGGUAAAGGCCUACCAAGGCGAUGAUCUAUAGCUGGUCUGAGAGGAUGAUCAGCCACACUGGAACUGAGAUACGGUCCAGACUCCUACGGGAGGCAGCAGUGGGGAAUAUUGGACAAUGGGCGCAAGCCUGAUCCAGCUAUGCCGCGUGAGUAAGGAAGGCCUUAGGGUUGUAAAACUCUUUCAGUAGGGAAGAUAAUGACGGUACCUACAGAAGAAGUCCCGGCAAACUCCGUGCCAGCAGCCGCGGUAAUACGGAGGGGGCAAGCGUUGUUCGGAAUUAUUGGGCGUAAAGGGCAUGUAGGCGGUUCGG
This 456-nucleotide ribosomal RNA is filed under the name uncultured Anaplasma sp. RNAcentral describes it as "bacterial SSU rRNA". It matches the Rfam family "Bacterial small subunit ribosomal RNA", at positions 91 to 583 of the family's 1533-position model. Lineage: Bacteria; Pseudomonadati; Pseudomonadota; Alphaproteobacteria; Rickettsiales; Anaplasmataceae. The record is from RNAcentral.